GCCGAUGUAGCUCAGCAGGCAGAGCAGCAGUUUUGUAAACUGCGGGUCGGAGGUUCGAUUCCUCUCAUCGGCU
This 73-nucleotide transfer RNA is filed under the name Candidatus Omnitrophota bacterium. RNAcentral describes it as "tRNA-Thr". It matches the Rfam family "tRNA". Rfam says of the family: Transfer RNA (tRNA) molecules are approximately 80 nucleotides in length. Their secondary structure includes four short double-helical elements and three loops (D, anti-codon, and T loops). Lineage: Bacteria; Pseudomonadati; Candidatus Omnitrophota. The record is from RNAcentral.